UGGGGAAUAUUGCGCAAUGGCCGAAAGGCUGACGCAGCGACGCCGCGUGUGGGAUGACGGCCCUCGGGUUGUAAACCGCUGUCGGAAGGGACGAAUGCCCCGCAAGGGGAGCGACGGUACCUUCAAAGGAAGCACCGGCUAACUCCGUGCCAGCAGCCGCGGUAAUACGGAGGGUGCGAGCGUUGUCCGGAAUCACUGGGCGUAAAGGGCGCGUAGGCGGCCCGGUAAGUAGGGGGUGAAAUCUUGCGGCUCAACCGCAAGGCUGCCUCCUAGACUGCCAGGCUCGAGCACAGUAGGGGCAGGUGGAAUUCCCGGUGUAGCGGUGAAAUGCGUAGAGAUCGGGAAGAUCAUCAGUGGCGAAGCGGCCUGCUGGGCUGUUGCUGACGCUGAGGCGCGACAGCGUGGGGAGCAAACAGGAUUAGGAUACCCUGGUAGUCCACGCCGUAAACGAUGGGCACGUAGGCGUCGGGGGGA
This 474-nucleotide ribosomal RNA is filed under the name uncultured bacterium. RNAcentral's name for it is "bacterial SSU rRNA". It matches the Rfam family "Bacterial small subunit ribosomal RNA", at positions 355 to 831 of the family's 1533-position model. The record is from RNAcentral.